This is a long non-coding RNA of Cavia porcellus (domestic guinea pig), 1601 nucleotides long. RefSeq lists it as uncharacterized. The record is from RefSeq and is a predicted model, not a curated record. The transcript has 2 exons. Lineage: Eukaryota; Metazoa; Chordata; Mammalia; Rodentia; Caviidae.
UGGCGAGCAGCGGGCUAAGGAGGAGGGGAUGAGAGGAGGGGUUGAGUGGGAUCGGAAGGGGAGGGGGCACAGUGAGCAGCCUGGGCUGGAGGGCAGUGAAGUUGAGCGGCAGCCUCUGAGGUGCUGCUGGUGUCUCCUACCCUGGAUUCCAGGUCGUUCGAGUUGAUCUGAAGUGUGAAAUUGGAAGCCUUAAAAGUUUGCCAACAGUUCCAUGUUAGAAAGUCAGGAGAUUUGAGAAUUGUGGAUAUUGAAACACUUCUCUACCAAGGAUGAAAACAAAACAAAACAAAAUCACUUGUGUGACAAAUGCAUCCAGCUACGGCCACGUUGCUUCCUCCUGGGACUCUUUUAAAAUGACCCUCACUCUACAAGCUGAUGGCCUCUACUAGGGUGUCAAAAAAAUUGCUGCCCUGGAUCAAGUCAGUUUGAUACUGAAUGAAGAGAAUGAAAGAAAUACAAGACCGAGCCCAGAGAGAGCCAUUAGACUUCGGGAAAGCAGCCUACUUCAUUUUGACCCUUCCAAGCUUCUUUUCUUUUUAUCUCAAGUCCAAAAUCCUUCCUUUUUCUGUUUUCAUUUCUUCCAAUAAAUUUAUUAAAUUUUAAUAAGUCCAAAUCUGUCUGUGAAAUAAAUCUAUAAAACUUUCAACUCUUCUUGGAAUACAAUUCUCAAAAACGAUAAAAUCAGGACACUUAGGCAAAUGUAAUAUUAUUAUUAUUUGAUAAUUGGAUGUUAAAACUUGUCCAAAGAGCACUUGAGAAGCUAGAUAUUUAUACACAAAAUACAAAUAAACAAGAAUGACUUUUCUUGUAGAAUCUCACUAAAAUCUUCAGCUCUGAGAUAAAACACAAUGCACAAGAUUAAUCUUUAUGCCCUGUAUUACUCUCACCAUCUUGUUUUUGACUGAUGUCCCCCUAUUCUGUUUUGCUUGAUAGUACCAGGUUCGAAAGUUUAGGCAACAGCUGUGAAGAUAGUGAGAUUCAUUAUGACGCCCAUUCUCAUUGACUAUUAUCUACUUUUGAAGACCUAUAAUGUCUCCAAUGUUUUGGUUUUGUCGGUUUUGUUCUUUACUGUUUUGUUCAAUUUUAUUAUAACUAAUGAUAUAGGCAAUUCUAUUAGAGAUAGCGGGAGGCACUAUGGUAACCAUUGUUGAUCACCUUGUAUUAUGCUUUUACAUUAUCUAUUAUGUCCACCCUUUUGAUUUGACUGACUGUUCUGUUAUGUCACAUUUGGUUCUACUCCCUUCCAAAAAAGUAAUAAGAACUGUGGGAGCAACAAAACCCAAAAUGUGUAAUUGUCAUUGUACAAAAGAGAGGAAAAGAAAGUGCUUUAAAUGAUAUAACUGCAUGUAUAUUUAAGUGUAUAAGAUAGAUAAUGAUAUCACUGAGUUUUGUUGGAUCAUUGAACAGAACUGUUUGCAGUCUGUUGGAAUGUCCACUUUACAAGCUUUAGUUUUCUGACUUGAACAAUUAUUUCUAAGAUGACAAUAUGUAAUCCAUUAACUAGUGAUUUUCUACUGUUUAUUUUUUUCUGUAAAUCUGUAUAACUUGUACCCUUUCUCUGCUUUUUUUUUCUCCUUAAAUAAAAUUUUUAAAAAAAUUAA